GAUGAAGAACGCAGCAAAAUGCGAUAAGUAAUGUGAAUUGCAGAAUUCAGUGAAUCAUCGAAUCUUUGAACGCACAUUGCGCCCGCCAGCAUUCUGGCGGGCAUGCCUGUUCGAGCGUCAUUUCAACCCUCGACCUCCCUUUGGGGAAGUCGGCGUUGGGGACCGGCAGCACACCGCCGGCCCUGAAAUGGAGUGGCGGCGCGUCCGCGGCGACCUCUGCGUAGUAAACCAACUCGCACCGGAACCCCGACGUGGCCACGCCGUAAAACACCCAACUUCUGAACGUUGACCUCGAAUCAGGUAGGACUACCCGCUGAACUUAAGCAUAUCAAUAAGCGGAGGA
RNAcentral lists this unclassified non-coding RNA (343 nucleotides) under soil metagenome. RNAcentral describes it as "partial contains 5.8S ribosomal RNA, internal transcribed spacer 2, and large subunit ribosomal RNA". The stretch from base 1 to 120 matches the Rfam family "5.8S ribosomal RNA", at positions 35 to 154 of the family's 154-position model. The record is from RNAcentral.